This 801-nucleotide ribosomal RNA is filed under the name uncultured bacterium. RNAcentral describes it as "bacterial SSU rRNA". It matches the Rfam family "Bacterial small subunit ribosomal RNA", at positions 77 to 897 of the family's 1533-position model. The record is from RNAcentral.
GCUAUAAUUGUCAGCUAAGUGGCGCACGGGUGAGUAAUGUAUAGAUAACCUGCCCUUAAGAAAGGAAUAACAGUUGGAAACGACUGCUAAUGCCCUAUAUGCCUUUAAUACAUAAGUAUGCAAGGGAAACGCUUUAGUGCUUAAGGAUGGGUCUGUAUGGUAUCAGCUUGUUGGUGAGGUAAUGGCUCACCAAGGCUAUGACGCCUAACUGGUAUGAGAGGACGAUCAGUCACACUGGAACUGAGACACGGUCCAGACUCCUACGGGAGGCAGCAGUGGGGAAUAUUGCACAAUGGACGAAAGUCUGAUGCAGCAACGCCGCGUGGAGGAUGACACAUUUCGGUGCGUAAACUCCUUUUAUAUAGGAAGAUAAUGACGGUACUAUAUGAAUAAGCACCGGCUAACUCCGUGCCAGCAGCCGCGGUAAUACGGAGGGUGCAAGCGUUACUCGGAAUCACUGGGCGUAAAGAGCGUGUAGGCGGAUUUGUAAGUUGGGAGUGAAAGCCUAUGGCUCAACCAUAGAACUGCUUCCAAAACUGCAUGUCUAGAGUGUGGGAGAGGUAGAUGGAAUUUCUGGUGUAGGGGUAAAAUCCGUAGAGAUCAGAAGGAAUACCGAUUGCGAAGGCGAUCUACUGGAACAUAACUGACGCUGAGACGCGAAAGCGUGGGGAGCAAACAGGAUUAGAUACCCUGGUAGUCCACGCCCUAAACGAUGUACACUAGUUGUUGUGAGGUUCGACCUUGCAGUAAUGCAGUUAACACAGUAAGUGUACCGCCUGGGGAGUACGGUCGCAAGAUUAA